This 433-nucleotide ribosomal RNA is filed under the name uncultured bacterium. RNAcentral's name for it is "partial 16S ribosomal RNA". It matches the Rfam family "Bacterial small subunit ribosomal RNA", at positions 29 to 507 of the family's 1533-position model. The record is from RNAcentral.
AACGAACGCUGGCGGCAUGCCUAACACAUGCAGGUCGAACGAGACCUUCGGGUCUAGUGGCGCACGGGUGCGUAACGCGUGGGAACCUGCCCUUAGGUUCGGAAUAACUCCCCGAAAGGGGUGCUAAUACCGGAUAAUGUCUUCGGACCAAAGAUUUAUCGCCUUUGGAUGGGCCCGCGUUGGAUUAGCUAGUUGGUAGGGUAAAAGCCUACCAAGGCGACGAUCCAUAGCUGGUCUGAGAGGAUGAUCAGCCACACUGGGACUGAGACACGGCCCAGACUCCUACGGGAGGCAGCAGUGGGGAAUAUUGGACAAUGGGCGAAAGCCUGAUCCAGCAAUGCCGCGUGAGCGAUGAAGGCCUUAGGGUUGUAAAGCUCUUUUACCCGGGAUGAUAAUGACAGUACCGGGAGAAUAAGCUCCGGCUAACUCCGUG